AUCUCUUGUCAGUACUCUAUUCAGUAGAGUGAGCAAACAUGUGGCUAAACCUUGUGUCCUUAUUAGCAGUCCUCAAAGGAGUCCAAACUCAAGUACAGUUGGUAGAGUCUGGAGGGGAUGUGAGAAGACCAGGAGAAUUCCUCCAUCUCUCCUGCCAAGCCUCCGGAUUCACCUUUAGUAGCUACUAGAUAGUUUGGGUGAGACAGGCUCCAGGGAAAAGACUGGAAUGGGUGGCAUAUGUGAACACCGGUUCAAGCACUUACUACCCAGACAAAGUGAAGGGCCGCUUCACCAUCUCCAGGGACAAUGCCAAAAGCCAGCUGUAUAUGCAAA
This is a non-coding RNA of Pseudonaja textilis, 333 nucleotides long. Lineage: Eukaryota; Metazoa; Chordata; Lepidosauria; Squamata; Elapidae. The record is from RefSeq and is a predicted model, not a curated record.